CUCAAAUAAAUAGGUUAUUAAUAUUCAUGGUAUUUGUAUUUCAUGUAAUUGAAAUAAAUAUGGCGGUGUUUUAUAUUUUUGGGAAUCUUGUUGUAUAAAGUAGAUAUUACACAAUAAAUCUUACCUUUAAUUUGUAAUUUUAUGUAUUGCUGUUUAAUUUUUAUUUUUGUUUGUUUUAUGAAAAAUUAAAAUUUAAUUAAAUUUUAAGUUAAAAUAAUUCAAGUCAAAAUGUAGAGUUUUAAUGGAAACAAUGAGUUGCUGUUAUUUUGUUAAUUUGUUAUAGUAAGAAAGUGAAUAAAACUUUAUUAUAGGAGGAUUAAAAAGUAAAUUAUAAUAAAUAAAGUAUGGUUGAAAUAUUAUUAAACAUGU
This 369-nucleotide ribosomal RNA is filed under the name Hansenochrus humbertoi. Its description in RNAcentral is "partial small subunit ribosomal RNA". The record is from RNAcentral. Lineage: Eukaryota; Metazoa; Arthropoda; Arachnida; Schizomida; Hubbardiidae.